RNAcentral lists this transfer RNA (73 nucleotides) under Ignavibacteriota bacterium. RNAcentral's name for it is "Ignavibacteriae bacterium tRNA-Gly". It matches the Rfam family "tRNA". Rfam says of the family: Transfer RNA (tRNA) molecules are approximately 80 nucleotides in length. Their secondary structure includes four short double-helical elements and three loops (D, anti-codon, and T loops). Further hydrogen bonds mediate the characteristic L-shaped molecular structure. tRNAs have two regions of fundamental functional importance: the anti-codon, which is responsible for specific mRNA codon recognition, and the 3' end, to which the tRNAs corresponding amino acid is attached (by aminoacyl-tRNA synthetases). tRNAs cope with the degeneracy of the genetic code in two manners: having more than one tRNA (with a specific anti-codon) for a particular amino acid; and 'wobble' base-pairing, i.e. permitting non-standard base-pairing at the 3rd anti-codon position. Lineage: Bacteria; Pseudomonadati; Ignavibacteriota. The record is from RNAcentral. RNAcentral also lists the same sequence under 1 other name.
GUGGAUGUAGCUCAGUUGGUAGAGCGUCAGCUUCCCAAGCUGAAUGUCGCGGGUUCGACUCCCGUCAUCCACU